This 332-nucleotide ribosomal RNA is filed under the name uncultured eukaryote. Its description in RNAcentral is "partial 18S ribosomal RNA". It matches the Rfam family "Eukaryotic small subunit ribosomal RNA", at positions 1470 to 1796 of the family's 1831-position model. The record is from RNAcentral.
CCCUUAGAUGUUCUGGGCCGCACGCGCGCUACACUGACGGAGGCAGCGAGCAUGUCCUUCGCCGAGAGGUGUGGGGAAUCUUGUGAGUCUCCGUCGUGCUGGGGAUAGAUGGUUGCAAUUGUCGAUCUUGAACGAGGAAUUCCUAGUAAGCGCGAGUCAUCAGCUCGCGCUGAUUACGUCCCUGCCCUUUGUACACACCGCCCGUCGCUACUACCGAUUGAAUCGUUUAGCGAGAAUUUUGGAUCGGAGCCCUGGUGGGCAGCGAUGUCCGCCUGGGAUUUACCGAGAAAUCAUUCCAGCUUGCCGAUUUAGAGGAAGGUGAAGUCGUAACA